GGUGGCUGGUUGUUUCAGCAAAAGAAAUAGCUCCUAAAAAGACACCUGAGAGUAAGAUGUGCCCCAAAAGUGUCCCCAGGGGUGAUAGAGAGGCUGUAGCAGGAGCUCUCCCUAAGGAUUUUAUACAACCCACUUGGCACUCACACUGUUAUUAUUAAAUGGAUUCAGCCAAAAGCUGCCUGUGGGGGUAGAGAUCGGUGGGAAGGUAGGGCGGCAGAGAAAGGAAGUGCUCAGGACCCCAAAUUGAAUAAAGAAAAAGGUCACACGCCAACUGCAAGUUAGAAAUGAAUCUGAGUGAAAGAGACCUAACCUCUUCACGAUCCAGGUUUCCUGAUUUUCAGACCUGAGUUAAGUUGCUAUGGAUACAGAGUGACAGGCCAGUGAAGGAAACUGGGGACAGGGAGUGGCCUGCCCACAGUGUCUCCUUUUCCAGACUUCUUAGAGGACUUGGAAAGAAAAUGAAAUGACGUUGAACGAAAUCAAAGUAAAUUGAGUGAUCUGAAACGAUUUGAUGUCAGCAAGAAUUCCCCAUACAGCUCACAGCCCUACCCCGAGCACGCCUCCCUCUUGGGUAUGCUCUCUGCAGGCCCAAACCUUGCAGAAGCCAUUCCAUGUUUCCUGAGCAGGAAAAGACAAACUCAGACCGACAACCUUGGACUUCAAAAGACUGCACACAAGGGGAGGAAGGACUGAGAGUACCAAGGCGUGAGAAUUCAGAAUGCUGCUAUCUCAUUUAUUUUUACCAUUUAGGAAACGUUUUGAUCUGCAUUCCUUUUCCCUUCCCUGAUUUCAAAAAAUAAAAAUAAAAAUGCUUCGG
Molecule: long non-coding RNA, 817 nt
Filed under: Homo sapiens (human)
Lineage: Eukaryota; Metazoa; Chordata; Mammalia; Primates; Hominidae
Description: long intergenic non-protein coding RNA 2029
Source: RNAcentral